AUUGAACGCUGGCGGCAGGCCUAACACAUGCAAGUCGAACGAGUGGCGGACGGGUGAGUAAUGUCUGGGAAACUGCCCGAUGGAGGGGGAUAACUACUGGAAACGGUAGCUAUUACCGCAAACCUUCGGAUGUACCCAGAUGGGAUUAGCGAGUAGGUGGGGUAACGGCUCCCCUAGGCGACGAUCCCUAGCUGGGCUGAGAGGAUGACCAGCCACACUGGAAGUGAGACACGGUCCAGACUCCUACGGGAGGCAGCAGUGGGGAAUAUUGCACAAUGGGCGCAAGCCUGAUGCAGCCAUGCCGCGUGUAUGAAGAAGGCCUUCGGGUUGUAAAGUACUUUCAGCGAGGAGGCGUUACUCGCAGAAGAAGCACCGGCUAACUCCGUGCCAGCAGCCGCGGUAAUAC
Molecule: ribosomal RNA, 406 nt
Filed under: uncultured bacterium
Lineage: Bacteria
Description: partial 16S ribosomal RNA
Rfam family: Bacterial small subunit ribosomal RNA
Source: RNAcentral